GGCUGCUUCAAAGGUAGUGAGUUAUCUCCUUAUCAAACUCCUUGUUCUACUCUUUACCUCCUUCUCACUACUGCACUUGACUAGUCUAAA
RNAcentral lists this Y RNA (90 nucleotides) under Theropithecus gelada (gelada). Its description in RNAcentral is "Y RNA (ENSTGEG00000011750.1)". It matches the Rfam family "Y RNA". Rfam says of the family: Y RNAs are components of the Ro ribonucleoprotein particle (Ro RNP), in association with Ro60 and La proteins. The Y RNAs and Ro60 and La proteins are well conserved, but the function of the Ro RNP is not known. Lineage: Eukaryota; Metazoa; Chordata; Mammalia; Primates; Cercopithecidae. The record is from Rfam by way of RNAcentral.